RNAcentral lists this ribosomal RNA (2931 nucleotides) under Escherichia coli. RNAcentral's name for it is "bacterial LSU rRNA". It matches the Rfam family "Bacterial large subunit ribosomal RNA". The record is from RNAcentral. Lineage: Bacteria; Pseudomonadati; Pseudomonadota; Gammaproteobacteria; Enterobacterales; Enterobacteriaceae.
GGGUUGUGAGGUUAAGCGACUAAGCGUACACGGUGGAUGCCCUGGCAGUCAGAGGCGAUGAAGGACGUGCUAAUCUGCGAUAAGCGUCGGUAAGGUGAUAUGAACCGUUAUAACCGGCGAUUUCCGAAUGGGGAAACCCAGUGUGUUUCGACACACUAUCAUUAACUGAAUCCAUAGGUUAAUGAGGCGAACCGGGGGAACUGAAACAUCUAAGUACCCCGAGGAAAAGAAAUCAACCGAGAUUCCCCCAGUAGCGGCGAGCGAACGGGGAGCAGCCCAGAGCCUGAAUCAGUGUGUGUGUUAGUGGAAGCGUCUGGAAAGGCGCGCGAUACAGGGUGACAGCCCCGUACACAAAAAUGCACAUACUGUGAGCUCGAUGAGUAGGGCGGGACACGUGGUAUCCUGUCUGAAUAUGGGGGGACCAUCCUCCAAGGCUAAAUACUCCUGACUGACCGAUAGUGAACCAGUACCGUGAGGGAAAGGCGAAAAGAACCCCGGCGAGGGGAGUGAAAAAGAACCUGAAACCGUGUACGUACAAGCAGUGGGAGCACGCUUAGGCGUGUGACUGCGUACCUUUUGUAUAAUGGGUCAGCGACUUAUAUUCUGUAGCAAGGUUAACCGAAUAGGGGAGCCGAAGGGAAACCGAGUCUUAACUGGGCGUUAAGUUGCAGGGUAUAGACCCGAAACCCGGUGAUCUAGCCAUGGGCAGGUUGAAGGUUGGGUAACACUAACUGGAGGACCGAACCGACUAAUGUUGAAAAAUUAGCGGAUGACUUGUGGCUGGGGGUGAAAGGCCAAUCAAACCGGGAGAUAGCUGGUUCUCCCCGAAAGCUAUUUAGGUAGCGCCUCGUGAAUUCAUCUCCGGGGGUAGAGCACUGUUUCGGCAAGGGGGUCAUCCCGACUUACCAACCCGAUGCAAACUGCGAAUACCGGAGAAUGUUAUCACGGGAGACACACGGCGGGUGCUAACGUCCGUCGUGAAGAGGGAAACAACCCAGACCGCCAGCUAAGGUCCCAAAGUCAUGGUUAAGUGGGAAACGAUGUGGGAAGGCCCAGACAGCCAGGAUGUUGGCUUAGAAGCAGCCAUCAUUUAAAGAAAGCGUAAUAGCUCACUGGUCGAGUCGGCCUGCGCGGAAGAUGUAACGGGGCUAAACCAUGCACCGAAGCUGCGGCAGCGACGCUUAUGCGUUGUUGGGUAGGGGAGCGUUCUGUAAGCCUGUGAAGGUGUGCUGUGAGGCAUGCUGGAGGUAUCAGAAGUGCGAAUGCUGACAUAAGUAACGAUAAAGCGGGUGAAAAGCCCGCUCGCCGGAAGACCAAGGGUUCCUGUCCAACGUUAAUCGGGGCAGGGUGAGUCGACCCCUAAGGCGAGGCCGAAAGGCGUAGUCGAUGGGAAACAGGUUAAUAUUCCUGUACUUGGUGUUACUGCGAAGGGGGGACGGAGAAGGCUAUGUUGGCCGGGCGACGGUUGUCCCGGUUUAAGCGUGUAGGCUGGUUUUCCAGGCAAAUCCGGAAAAUCAAGGCUGAGGCGUGAUGACGAGGCACUACGGUGCUGAAGCAACAAAUGCCCUGCUUCCAGGAAAAGCCUCUAAGCAUCAGGUAACAUCAAAUCGUACCCCAAACCGACACAGGUGGUCAGGUAGAGAAUACCAAGGCGCUUGAGAGAACUCGGGUGAAGGAACUAGGCAAAAUGGUGCCGUAACUUCGGGAGAAGGCACGCUGAUAUGUAGGUGAAGUCCCUCGCGGAUGGAGCUGAAAUCAGUCGAAGAUACCAGCUGGCUGCAACUGUUUAUUAAAAACACAGCACUGUGCAAACACGAAAGUGGACGUAUACGGUGUGACGCCUGCCCGGUGCCGGAAGGUUAAUUGAUGGGGUCAGCGCAAGCGAAGCUCUUGAUCGAAGCCCCGGUAAACGGCGGCCGUAACUAUAACGGUCCUAAGGUAGCGAAAUUCCUUGUCGGGUAAGUUCCGACCUGCACGAAUGGCGUAAUGAUGGCCAGGCUGUCUCCACCCGAGACUCAGUGAAAUUGAACUCGCUGUGAAGAUGCAGUGUACCCGCGGCAAGACGGAAAGACCCCGUGAACCUUUACUAUAGCUUGACACUGAACAUUGAGCCUUGAUGUGUAGGAUAGGUGGGAGGCUUAGAAGUGUGGACGCCAGUCUGCAUGGAGCCGACCUUGAAAUACCACCCUUUAAUGUUUGAUGUUCUAACGUUGACCCGUAAUCCGGGUUGCGGACAGUGUCUGGUGGGUAGUUUGACUGGGGCGGUCUCCUCCUAAAGAGUAACGGAGGAGCACGAAGGUUGGCUAAUCCUGGUCGGACAUCAGGAGGUUAGUGCAAUGGCAUAAGCCAGCUUGACUGCGAGCGUGACGGCGCGAGCAGGUGCGAAAGCAGGUCAUAGUGAUCCGGUGGUUCUGAAUGGAAGGGCCAUCGCUCAACGGAUAAAAGGUACUCCGGGGAUAACAGGCUGAUACCGCCCAAGAGUUCAUAUCGACGGCGGUGUUUGGCACCUCGAUGUCGGCUCAUCACAUCCUGGGGCUGAAGUAGGUCCCAAGGGUAUGGCUGUUCGCCAUUUAAAGUGGUACGCGAGCUGGGUUUAGAACGUCGUGAGACAGUUCGGUCCCUAUCUGCCGUGGGCGCUGGAGAACUGAGGGGGGCUGCUCCUAGUACGAGAGGACCGGAGUGGACGCAUCACUGGUGUUCGGGUUGUCAUGCCAAUGGCACUGCCCGGUAGCUAAAUGCGGAAGAGAUAAGUGCUGAAAGCAUCUAAGCACGAAACUUGCCCCGAGAUGAGUUCUCCCUGACCCUUUAAGGGUCCUGAAGGAACGUUGAAGACGACGACGUUGAUAGGCCGGGUGUGUAAGCGCAGCGAUGCGUUGAGCUAACCGGUACUAAUGAACCGUGAGGCUUAACCUUACAACGCCGAAGGUGUUU